RNAcentral lists this transfer RNA (53 nucleotides) under Ascoschoengastia sp. TATW-1. Its description in RNAcentral is "tRNA-Asn". The record is from RNAcentral. Lineage: Eukaryota; Metazoa; Arthropoda; Arachnida; Trombidiformes; Trombiculidae.
UUAGAAUAACUUAAAUACUGUUGAUAUUUUAUUGGAAUCCUGUCCAUUCUAAG